This 1070-nucleotide ribosomal RNA is filed under the name Salmonella enterica. RNAcentral's name for it is "partial 23S ribosomal RNA". It matches the Rfam family "Bacterial large subunit ribosomal RNA", at positions 711 to 1773 of the family's 2925-position model. The record is from RNAcentral. Lineage: Bacteria; Pseudomonadati; Pseudomonadota; Gammaproteobacteria; Enterobacterales; Enterobacteriaceae.
AGACCCGAAACCCGGUGAUCUAGCCAUGGGCAGGUUGAAGGUUGGGUAACACUAACUGGAGGACCGAACCGACUAAUGUUGAAAAAUUAGCGGAUGACCUGUGGCUGGGGGUGAAAGGCCAAUCAAACCGGGAGAUAGCUGGUUCUCCCCGAAAGCUAUUUAGGUAGCGCCUCGUGAAUUCAUCUCCGGGGGUAGAGCACUGUUUCGGCUAGGGGGCCAUCCCGGCUUACCAACCCGAUGCAAACUACGAAUACCGGAGAAUGUUAUCACGGGAGACACACGGCGGGUGCUAACGUCCGUCGUGAAGAGGGAAACAACCCAGACCGCCAGCUAAGGUCCCAAAGUCAUGGUUAAGUGGGAAACGAUGUGGGAAGGCCCAGACAGCCAGGAUGUUGGCUUAGAAGCAGCCAUCAUUUAAAGAAAGCGUAAUAGCUCACUGGUCGAGUCGGCCUGCGCGGAAGAUGUAACGGGGCUAAACCAUGCACCGAAGCUGCGGCAGCGACAUUUAGGUGUUGUUGGGUAGGGGAGCGUUCUGUAAGCCUGUGAAGGUGGCCUGUGAGGGUUGCUGGAGGUAUCAGAAGUGCGAAUGCUGACAUAAGUAACGAUAAAGCGGGUGAAAAGCCCGCUCGCCGGAAGACCAAGGGUUCCUGUCCAACGUUAAUCGGGGCAGGGUGAGUCGACCCCUAAGGCGAGGCCGAAAGGCGUAGUCGAUGGGAAACGGGUUAAUAUUCCCGUACUUGGUGUUACUGCGAAGGGGGGACGGAGAAGGCUAUGUUGGCCGGGCGACGGUUGUCCCGGUUUAAGCGUGUAGGUGUGUGUUCCAGGUAAAUCCGGUUCACUUUAACACUGAGGCGUGACGACGAGGCACUACGGUGCUGAAGCAACAAAUGCCCUGCUUCCAGGAAAAGCCUCUAAGCAUCAGGUAACAUCAAAUCGUACCCCAAACCGACACAGGUGGUCAGGUAGAGAAUACCAAGGCGCUUGAGAGAACUCGGGUGAAGGAACUAGGCAAAAUGGUGCCGUAACUUCGGGAGAAGGCACGCUGACACGUAGGUGAAGUGAUUUACUCA